Molecule: ribosomal RNA, 460 nt
Filed under: uncultured bacterium
Lineage: Bacteria
Description: partial 16S ribosomal RNA
Rfam family: Bacterial small subunit ribosomal RNA
Source: RNAcentral
CCUACGGGAGGCAGCAGUGAGGAAUAUUGGUCAAUGGACGAGAGUCUGAACCAGCCAAGUAGCGUGAAGGAUGACUGCCCUAUGGGUUGUAAACUUCUUUUAUAUGGGAAUAAAACAGGGUAUGCAUACCCUCUUGUAUGUACCAUAUGAAUAAGGAUCGGCUAACUCCGUGCCAGCAGCCGCGGUAAUACGGAGGAUCCGAGCGUUAUCCGGAUUUAUUGGGUUUAAAGGGAGCGUAGGUGGAUUGUUAAGUCAGUUGUGAAAGUUUGCGGCGCAACCGUAAAAUUGCAGUUGAAACUGGCAGUCUUGAGUACAGUAGAGGUGAGCGGAAUUCGUGGUGUAGCGGUGAAAUGCUUAGAUAUCACGAAGAACUCCGAUUGCGAAGGCAGCUCACUGGACUGCAACUGACACUGAUGCUCGAAAGUGUGGGUAGCAAACAGGAUUAGAUACCCCAGUAGUC